RNAcentral lists this unclassified non-coding RNA (220 nucleotides) under uncultured fungus. RNAcentral describes it as "sequence contains ITS1". Lineage: Eukaryota; Fungi. The record is from RNAcentral.
GUGUUUAGUUUCUGCCUUGCGGCAAGAUUAUACAACUACAUUCACGUACUCAGGGUUUGUUAAAAAUGGGUUGCCAGACUGCUGCCAGGAGAGCCAAAAGGCAUCUCCCUUAAGCAAUCCGACGGUUCACAGGUGUGUGGAUAAGGUGAAGGGUCGGGGCCCAACGAGUGGGAUCCCCUUUUGUUCACUAAUGAUCCUUCUGCAGGUUCACCUACAGAAA